Molecule: small RNA, 259 nt
Filed under: Nomascus leucogenys (northern white-cheeked gibbon)
Lineage: Eukaryota; Metazoa; Chordata; Mammalia; Primates; Hylobatidae
Description: Metazoan signal recognition particle RNA (ENSNLEG00000035091.1)
Source: RNAcentral
GCUGGGCGUGGUGGUGCAUGCCUGUAAUCCCAGCUACUUGGGAGGCUGAGGCAGGAGAAUUGCUUGAACCCAGGAGGUGGAGGUUGCCGUGAGCGGAGAUCAUGCCACGGCACUCUAGCCCGGCAACAGAGUGAGACUCCGUCUAAAAAAAAAAAAAUGGUGAGGCGUGGUGGCAUGCACCUGUAGUGGUACAUGAUUGUGUAGUGCAAGAUUGCGCCACUGCACUCUGGCCUGAGAGACAGAGCAAGACUCUGUUUCA